This 944-nucleotide ribosomal RNA is filed under the name uncultured crenarchaeote. Its description in RNAcentral is "bacterial SSU rRNA". It matches the Rfam family "Archaeal small subunit ribosomal RNA", at positions 1 to 923 of the family's 1478-position model. The record is from RNAcentral. Lineage: Archaea; Thermoproteati; Thermoproteota.
UCCGGUUGAUCCCGCCGGAUCCUACUGCUAUCGGGAUGAGACUAAAACAUGCUAGUUGUGCGCACCCUAGCUAUGUUGGGAGCGCAGCGCACGGCUCUGUAACACGUAGUCAAUCUAACCUUAGGAUGGGAAUAACCCCGGGAAACUGGGGCUAAUACCUAAUAGGCGAAAAAGUCUGGAAUGACUCUUCACUCAAAGAGUUAUAGGAACAUGCUCCUUUAACUGCCUAAGGAUGAGACUGCGACCGAUCAGGUUGUUGGUGGGGUGAUGGCCUACCAAGCCUAUAACCGGUACGGGCCCUGAGAGGGGGAGCCCGGAGAUGGGAACUGAGACAAGGUCCCAGACCCUAAGGGGUGCAGCAGUUGCGAAACCUCUACAAUGCACGAAAGUGUGAUAGGGUUAUCCCGAGUGCCGUCCGAUGAGGAUGGCUUUUCCCUGGUGUAAGGAGCCAGGAGAAUAAAGGGGGGGCAAGACUGGUGUCAGCCGCCGCGGUAAUACCAGCCCCCUGAGUGGUAGGGAUGAUUAUUUGGCCUAAAGCGUCCGUAGCCGGCUUAGCAAGUCUUUCGUUAAAUCCGGUGACUUAAUCAUCGGGCUGCGAGAGAUACUACUAGGCUUGAGGGCGGGAGAGGUCGACGGUAUUCCGGGGGUAGGGGUAAAAUCCUAUAAUCCUUGGAGGACCACCAGUGGCGAAGGCGGUCGACUAGAACGUGCCUGACGGUGAUGGACGAAAGCUGGGGGAGCAAACCGGAUUAGACACCCGGGUAGUCCCAGCCGUAAACGAUGCGGGCUAGGUGUUGGAGCAGCUACGAGCUGCUCCAGUGCCGCAGAGAAGUCAUUAAGCCCGCCGCCUGGGAAGUACGGUCGCAAGACUGAAACUUAAAGGAAUUGGCGGGGGAGCACCACAAGGGGUGAAGCCUGCGGUUCAAUUGGAUUCAACGCCGGGA